CCAGGGGACAAUUACAGCCAAUUGCUCUUGCACUCGCAUGUAAAUUGCUGCCAAGGAAUUUAGGCUGUGAGGAUUUACACAUGGCAGAGUCCCUCAGUGAUGGCCGGUUUUCAUGCACAAAAUUAGGCCUGGUCACUGCAACCCACUGUGCAGCAGAUUGCAGCCUGAGCCCAAGAACCUGAUGGUGACUGCCGGUUAGAAACACCCCAUUGUCACAGCUAUGACACAACAUUCCUUAGUUGUUGUCAUCAGUUUAAGAAGGCUAUCGGUGAUAGCCUGUCCUGUAACAGUAAGGACAAAGGACUGGUCAGCAUUCUGCCAGGUAGACGGACUUUCACACUAUGGAGAACAGAAAGUCAAAAGGGAUUUGGCACUUACUGCUUCAGAUGCCACUGUGAAUGGAAGGGGCGCGUUGCUCGCUUCUGCUGCAGCUGCUAUUGGUGGUGGAUACUGAAGCCUAAAUCUCCACAACAGAGCUGCUUGUAUUUGAUUCUCCUUUCUAGCACACUGCCAGGGGAGGUGGCUUCGGCUCUUCCCCUUUCCUAAGUGAGCUUCCCUUUUCCUGAGCUAGACGAGGUAAGCUGAGGCUCUUGAUAGCAAAUCAGAGCAGGAGGGACCACUGAGGAUACGUCCAGCUCCUCAAAGAAUGCAGACCUUGAGCUCAUCCCCAUUUCUGCCCAUUGCUUUUCACUCAGCUAUUGCAUAAGUCUG
Molecule: long non-coding RNA, 711 nt
Filed under: Gallus gallus (chicken)
Lineage: Eukaryota; Metazoa; Chordata; Aves; Galliformes; Phasianidae
Description: long non-coding RNA NONGGAT004855
Source: RNAcentral